Molecule: ribosomal RNA, 449 nt
Filed under: uncultured bacterium
Lineage: Bacteria
Description: partial 16S ribosomal RNA
Rfam family: Bacterial small subunit ribosomal RNA
Source: RNAcentral
AACGAACGCUGGCGGCAUGCCUAACACAUGCAAGUCGAACGAGACCUUCGGGUCUAGUGGCGCACGGGUGCGUAACGCGUGGGCAUCUGCCCUUUGGUUCGGAAUAACAGUUGGAAACGACUGCUAAUACCGGAUGAUGACGAAAGUCCAAAGAUUUAUCGCCAGAGGAUGAGCCCGCGUAGGAUUAGCUAGUUGGUGUGGUAAAGGUGCACCAAGGCGACUAUCCUUAGCUGGUCUGAGAGGAUGAGCAGCCACCCUGGGACUGAGACACGGGACGGACUCCGACGGGAGGCAGCAGUGGGGGAGAUUGGAAAAUGGGCGAAUGCCUGAUCCAGCAAUGCCGCGUGAUGGAUGAAGGCCUUAGGGUUGUAAAGCUCUUGUACCCGGGAUGAUAAUGACAGUACCGGGAGAAUAGGCUCCGGCUGACUCCGUGCCAGCCGCCGCCGUAA